RNAcentral lists this unclassified non-coding RNA (264 nucleotides) under air metagenome. RNAcentral's name for it is "partial contains small subunit ribosomal RNA, internal transcribed spacer 1, and 5.8S ribosomal RNA". The stretch from base 1 to 46 matches the Rfam family "Eukaryotic small subunit ribosomal RNA", at positions 1786 to 1831 of the family's 1831-position model. The record is from RNAcentral.
AAGUCGUAACAAGGUUUCCGUAGGUGAACCUGCGGAAGGAUCAUUAAUGAAUUAAAUCCGAGGUCGUUGCUGCUGGUCUCUUGAGACAUCGUGCACGCUUCCUUCUUAUUCAUCCACCCCAAACCGUGCACUCAUCGUAGGCCCGGAGAUUUCUCCGGUCUAUGUAUUUUUUAACACCGUAAAAAGUAAAUGAACGUAUCGAAUGCCGCUCACGCGGUAUUAACAAAAUUAAUACAACUUUCAACAACGGAUCUCUUGGCUCUC